Molecule: long non-coding RNA, 919 nt
Filed under: Nicotiana benthamiana
Lineage: Eukaryota; Viridiplantae; Streptophyta; Magnoliopsida; Solanales; Solanaceae
Description: long non-coding RNA (NBEN_LNC002839)
Source: RNAcentral
CAUGGCUAGAUUGGUAUGAAUUCUUGUUUUCUUCAUUGGAAAAACUAUCAUCCCCAAGAAAACAUAAAGACAAAGACCCUCCGAUGGAUGUGUCUUAAUAAGGUGAGGGAGAAUUCAUCAGAAUAAGUACAGUAAGAUUUGUUGUGACCGUACCUUUCCUUCAAAUAGUCAAAGGGAAUGUAUGAUUCCUUCAGACAUGUGAAGUCGAGAUUCUUCUUUAGACCCAUUAUUUUGAGAAAACCUCUAUCCUUGCGAUUUUCCGGCAUUAGCGAACCCGGAGUUUCCCAUGGUAUCCCAGCUAGUCCUCCUAUUUACCCAAGCAAAGGUGUCAUCUCAAUGUCUCUAAGGCAAAAUACCGACCUACCGCAAUCCUAAAGCAAAAUUGCAGCUUUUACGAUUUUAUUAUUGGGUUGAAUGUCUAAGAGAGAAGGCAUGUUUCCUAGAUGUUUCCUGACGAGAGCUUGAUCACUGGGAUGGAGAUCUCCCCACCAACUUAGCAAUUUGGGGUGAAUAUUGGUAACCAUGCUGAAUCUGGGGACUUCCUGCUUCAUUUUCUGCAAAACAAAAGUGUUAGGUCCUUACCUCCGCCAGAGUCGACUAUUUAAUAUCAAUAAUUGGCAUAGCAAACAUUUUGCUCUCCACAUAAAUGCACAGAAGGUGAUAAGAUCUAUUUGGGUUCCAGGGAAACACAGUAGACUUUGGAUAAGGCUUAUCUUAAAGAGUCAUUAUGUAGAUGUCAUAACUGACUCGGCUAGGUUGACCAUGAUGUAUGCAUAAUUUAAAGAGAAAUGGUUUCUAUGGGGUAUUAGACUGGUACCCUCGAGUGGACAACUCAAGAGGUAAAUGCACUGAACCGUCGACUAAACCGUUGAUCGACUGGUUUUAAUGCAAAUAGGCCUUUGCCAAAUUUAGGGGGUAA